RNAcentral lists this ribosomal RNA (481 nucleotides) under uncultured Pseudomonadota bacterium. RNAcentral's name for it is "bacterial SSU rRNA". It matches the Rfam family "Bacterial small subunit ribosomal RNA", at positions 355 to 827 of the family's 1533-position model. Lineage: Bacteria; Pseudomonadati; Pseudomonadota. The record is from RNAcentral.
UGGGGAAUUUUGGACAAUGGGCGAAAGCCUGAUCCAGCCAUGCCGCGUGCGGGAAGAAGGCCUUCGGGUUGUAAACCGCUUUUGGCAGGAACGAAACGGCGCGGGUGAAUACCCCGCGUUAAUGACGGUACCUGCAGAAUAAGCACCGGCUAACUACGUGCCAGCAGCCGCGGUAAUACGUAGGGUGCAAGCGUUAAUCGGAAUUACUGGGCGUAAAGCGUACGCAGGCGGCCAUGCAAGACAGGUGUGAAAUCCCCGGGCCUAACCUGGGAACUGCAUUUGUGACUGCAUGGCUAGAGUCUGUCAGAGGGGGGUGGAAUUCCACGUGUAGCAGUGAAAUGCGUAGAGAUGUGGAAGAACACCGAUGGCGAAGGCAGCCCCCUGGGACUAAGACUGACGCUCAGGUACGAAAGCGUGGGGAGCAAACAGGAUUAGAUACCCUGGUAGUCCACGCCCUAAACGAUGUCUACUAGUUGUCGGA